AUUCAUUUUCCAGCUACACUGAAGAUAGGAGCAUUCAGUUUCCAGCCAUGUUACAGAGAGUUCCUGGGUCGGCCCUUUUAGCCUGAGGUAGAGACACCCUUAUAUGCUAAGCCCAGUUGGCUCACUCGGGAUAAGUGUGGGAGACCCUGUGUAGAAGCAAGAGUCACACUACCCUGUAUCCUUUCUGAAAUUCCUGACGGCACUGGAUUUUCCAAAAAAGCAAAAAUUAAAAAAAAAAUCAAGAUGAGUAAAGAUGUGGUUUUCAGAUAAUGCCCAACAAAGCAGCGACCAAGGGCGAGGCGUCACCACUUGGGCUUAUAAAAGCUGCU
RNAcentral lists this long non-coding RNA (329 nucleotides) under Cricetulus griseus (Chinese hamster). RNAcentral describes it as "lncRNA (ENSCGRG00015037240.1)". The record is from RNAcentral. Lineage: Eukaryota; Metazoa; Chordata; Mammalia; Rodentia; Cricetidae.